CCCAGACAGCCAGGAUGUUGGCUUAGAAGCAGCCAUCAUUUAAAGAAAGCGUAAUAGCUCACUGGUCGAGUCGGCCUGCGCGGAAGAUGUAACGGGGCUAAACCAUGCACCGAAGCUGCGGCAGCGAACGUAUCACCCAAGACAACUUUACGGAGUUGACGAUUGAUGGAGCGAAGCGACGUCAAAGCGUUCAUUAAAGUCGAGUUGGCUUAGGGAUACGUUCGUUGGGUAGGGGAGCGUUCUGUAAGCCUGUGAAGGUGGCCUGUGAGGGUUGCUGGAGGUAUCAGAAGUGCGAAUGCUGACAUAAGUAACGAUAAAGCGGGUGAAAAGCCCGCUCGCCGGAAGACCAA
RNAcentral lists this ribosomal RNA (350 nucleotides) under Salmonella enterica subsp. enterica serovar Norwich. RNAcentral's name for it is "bacterial LSU rRNA". It matches the Rfam family "Bacterial large subunit ribosomal RNA", at positions 1084 to 1348 of the family's 2925-position model. The record is from RNAcentral. Lineage: Bacteria; Pseudomonadati; Pseudomonadota; Gammaproteobacteria; Enterobacterales; Enterobacteriaceae.